AAACCACGGCUUUAGUAUGGGAUGGGUUAUCUCGUAGAAUUAUGGCAAAUCAUUUCUCUGAAUUGUCAUGGUCAUUUGAGCCCAAUUCACAUUCACAUCUCACAAAGUGGUGAGCAAAGCUACCCCCAAAUAUUAAAUCAAUGCCACCCAAAGGAAAAAUGUAGCAAUCUGCUGAUAGUGUGAAACUAUCUAGCUCCAAUUACAACCUAGCAUAACCCAGAUGAUUUAGUGUGAUGCCUAUCUCUCAAUCUAACUCCAAAAGGAGGUGUUUGUGAUUUGCAAAUCGAGCUUUGUCACUAGAUUAUUGGCAAUGAAAUUAUGACUUGCUUCAUUGUCAAUCAUAAUAGUUCCCUCCUGUCCAUGUAAACGCCCUUGAAACUUCUUGGUUCUGGGUCCAGAAACCCCUCCUGCUGAAUGCAACAGCAGUUCUAGUUGCUUGAAAUGACCCCCCUGCAAACCUUAUAUGGUGGUGCCUUGCUUUUUCCCGGUUCGAUAUCCUCCGGAACUUCUUCAUCAUCCCCUACAAUCAGAGCUCUAAGGGUUUUAUUCAGGCACACAUGCAAAGGGCUGUAUGGCUGCUUACAUCAAUAACACAGUCCCUUAGCCUUUAGAUCCAUGAAUUCCUAAUGAGAGAAAUGUUGUAGUCCCCUUCUCAAGAUGUUAGAACUCAUGCCUUUGUUGGUCAACCCUCCUGGUGGCACAGGUAAACAGAGAAUAUUGGAGUUG
This 726-nucleotide unclassified non-coding RNA is filed under the name Hevea brasiliensis (rubber tree). Lineage: Eukaryota; Viridiplantae; Streptophyta; Magnoliopsida; Malpighiales; Euphorbiaceae. The record is from RNAcentral.